RNAcentral lists this ribosomal RNA (454 nucleotides) under uncultured bacterium. RNAcentral describes it as "partial 16S ribosomal RNA". It matches the Rfam family "Bacterial small subunit ribosomal RNA", at positions 341 to 792 of the family's 1533-position model. The record is from RNAcentral.
ACGGGAGGCAGCAGUGAGGAAUAUUGGUCAAUGGGGGCAACUCUGAACCAGCCAUGUCGCGUGAAGGAAUACGGCCCUACGGGUCUUAAACUUCUUUUAUACGGGGAUAAAGUGAGAUAUGUAUAUCUUUUUGUAGGUACCCUAUGAAUAAGCAUCGGCUAAUUCCGUGCCAGCAGCCGCGGUAAUACGGAGGAUGCGAGCGUUAUCCGGAUUUAUUGGGUUUAAAGGGUGCGCAGGCGGCACGUUAAGUCAGCGGUGAAAUGUCGGGGCUCAACCCGUGCACUGCCGUUGAAACUGGCGAGCUCGAGUACGGAUGAAGUUGGCGGAAUGUGAUGUGUAGCGGUGAAAUGCUUAGAUAUGUCGCAGAACACCGAUUGCGAAGGCAGCUGACUAAUGCGCAACUGACGCUGAGGCACGAAAGCGUGGGGAUCGAACAGGAUUAGAUACCCUGGUA